This 497-nucleotide ribosomal RNA is filed under the name uncultured bacterium. RNAcentral describes it as "partial 16S ribosomal RNA". It matches the Rfam family "Bacterial small subunit ribosomal RNA", at positions 28 to 507 of the family's 1533-position model. The record is from RNAcentral.
GAUGAACGCUGGCGGCGUGCCUAAUACAUGCAAGUCGAGCGAACAGAUGAGGAGCUUGCUCCUCUGACGUUAGCGGCGGACGGGUGAGUAACACGUGGAUAACCUACCUAUAAGACUGGGAUAACUUCGGGAAACCGGAGCUAAUACCGGAUAAUAUAUUGAACCGCAUGGUUCAAUAGUGAAAGACGGUUUUGCUGUCACUUAUAGAUGGAUCCGCGCCGCAUUAGCUAGUUGGUAAGGUAACGGCUUACCAAGGCAACGAUGCGUAGCCGACCUGAGAGGGGGAUCGCCCACACUGGAACGGAGCCACGGUCCAGACUCCUACGGGAGGCAGCAGUAGGGAAUCUUCCGCAAUGGGCGAAAGCCUGACGGAGCAACGCCGCGUGAGUGAUGAAGGUCUUCGGAUCGUAAAACUCUGUUAUUAGGGAAGAACAAAUGUGUAAGUAACUAUGCACGUCUUGACGGUACCUAAUCAGAAAGCCACGGCUAACUACGUG